GAAGAUUGGGCCUUUUUUUAUGUUUUAUCAUUUAGCCCAUUAGCGCAACACAAUAAACAACCUAACCCUAGAAAACUAGGAUAAAUAGAGGGCUAGAGGCUCAACCUUAGUGUGCCAGAUUGAGAGGAAAACACCAUAGAGUGAGUUGUAACCCAAUUGGGAGAAUGGAAGGUGAUAGAAGUAUGCGUGGCUAAUUCUACCCUUUGGGAUUGAGAGUAAUCUACUCAAACUCUUAUGUAUUGAGGUGAUAUUUUAUAUAUUAAUAUUCAGUUCUUGAUUGAUUAUUGGUA
Molecule: long non-coding RNA, 290 nt
Filed under: Phaseolus vulgaris (common bean)
Lineage: Eukaryota; Viridiplantae; Streptophyta; Magnoliopsida; Fabales; Fabaceae
Description: long non-coding RNA (PVUL_LNC004164)
Source: RNAcentral